RNAcentral lists this long non-coding RNA (275 nucleotides) under Lathyrus oleraceus (garden pea). Its description in RNAcentral is "Pisum sativum (pea) long non-coding RNA (PSAT_LNC032756)". Lineage: Eukaryota; Viridiplantae; Streptophyta; Magnoliopsida; Fabales; Fabaceae. The record is from RNAcentral.
UUGAAUUGCAUCGUUGGCUUUGCAGAACAAUCUUAGGGUUUAUAUGAGAGGAAAUUGGUUAUUUGCAGAUGAGUUCCCUUCAGUCUCUGGAGGUUGCUCUGAAUUAGUUAGAAUCUCUCUAGCUCUUUCUCUUCUCUCGUUAGGUCAGGGUUUUUUUGGGAGAUGGAAGUCUAGAAUUUAUAACCUGAUUUUCGUGGCUUUGUGGGCUCAAAUGAGAGAGGUCCAAGUCCAAGAUUUUUCUGUUAUAUUUUAUUUAUUUAUUUAUUUAUUUUUUA